UGCAAUGACAUAUACAUGUAGGGUUUAUUUUACACAAUACUGCAAGUGUAAUAAUUGUUUUGUUUAUAUACUUUUUUUAGAUAAAACUGCACUCAAUGUAAUGGUAUCACACUGAUCCCUUAUUUUAACAUCAUUUGUGUAUUCCAAUAUAAAAAGACACAGAUAAAGCAGUAUAAUAUUAGGCUAAAAAAAACUCAACAAGUAUGAUUCAAUUUAGAUUACAUCAUAAAAUGUUACCAUUGUUUUAAACAAAUAAACCACAAAG
Molecule: long non-coding RNA, 265 nt
Filed under: Mytilus galloprovincialis (Mediterranean mussel)
Lineage: Eukaryota; Metazoa; Mollusca; Bivalvia; Mytilida; Mytilidae
Source: RNAcentral